RNAcentral lists this ribosomal RNA (253 nucleotides) under uncultured prokaryote. RNAcentral describes it as "partial 16S ribosomal RNA". It matches the Rfam family "Bacterial small subunit ribosomal RNA", at positions 524 to 776 of the family's 1533-position model. The record is from RNAcentral.
UACGAGGGGGGCGAGCGUUGUUCGGAAUUAUUGGGCGUAAAGGGCGCGUAGGCGGUGCGGUAAGUCACCUGUGAAACCUCUGGGCUUAACUCAGAGCCUGCAGGCGAAACUGCCGUGCUGGAGUGUGGGAGAGGUGCGUGGAAUUCCCGGUGUAGCGGUGAAAUGCGUAGAUAUCGAGAGGAACACCAGUGGCGAAGGCGAAUCUCUGGACAAUUCCUGACACUGAUGCUCGAAAGCUAGGGGAGCAAACGGG